UAAUAAGUGUUUUAUGGCACUUUUUAAAUCCAUAUCCACCUUGUGUGCAUGUCAGUCGAUCUUCUUCAUGGAGAUCGACCAAACAUCAACCUUUAUUUUUUAACUCUUUGUCUGAAAAAUAUUAUGAAUAAACAAUUCAAAAUA
This 144-nucleotide unclassified non-coding RNA is filed under the name soil metagenome. RNAcentral's name for it is "partial internal transcribed spacer 1". The record is from RNAcentral.